This 550-nucleotide ribosomal RNA is filed under the name uncultured marine eukaryote. Its description in RNAcentral is "SSU rRNA". It matches the Rfam family "Eukaryotic small subunit ribosomal RNA", at positions 616 to 1172 of the family's 1831-position model. The record is from RNAcentral.
CAGUUAAAAAGCUCGUAGUUGGAUUUCGGAACCGGCCGAUUGGUCCGUCCUCUGGAUCGUGUACUGAUCGGUCUGUUCUUCUUCGCGAAGACCGCGUGUGCUCUUAACUGAGUGGGCGUGGGAUUCGCGACGUUUACUUUGAAAAAAUUAGAGUGUUCAAAGCAGGCAGUCGCUUGAAUAUCUCAGCAUGGAAUAAUAGAAUAGGACUUUGGUCUUAUUUUGUUGGUUUCCGAGACCGAAGUAAUGAUUAAUAGGGACAGUUGGGGGCAUUCGUAUUUCAUUGUCAGAGGUGAAAUUCUUGGAUUUAUGAAAGACGAACUUCUGCGAAAGCAUUUGCCAAGGAUGUUUUCAUUAAUCAAGAACGAAAGUUGGAGGCCCGAAGACGAUCAGAUACCGUCCUAGUUCCAACCAUAAACGAUGCCGUCUGCGGAUCGGAGGUCGCUCAUGUAAGGCUCCUUCGGCACGCUAUGAGAAAUCAAAGACUUCGGGUUCCGGGGGGAGUAUGUUCGCAAGAAUGAAACUUAAAGGAAUUGACGGAAGGGCACCACCA